GGCCUCGUGGUCUAGUGGUAUGAUUCUCGCUUAAGGGUGCGAGAGGGUCCCGGAUUCGAUCUCCGGGCAAGGCCC
Molecule: transfer RNA, 75 nt
Filed under: Phytophthora infestans T30-4
Lineage: Eukaryota; Oomycota; Peronosporomycetes; Peronosporales; Peronosporaceae
Description: tRNA-Leu
Source: RNAcentral